Arvicanthis niloticus (Nile rat) is the source of this 482-nucleotide long non-coding RNA. RefSeq lists it as uncharacterized. Lineage: Eukaryota; Metazoa; Chordata; Mammalia; Rodentia; Muridae. The record is from RefSeq and is a predicted model, not a curated record.
CAGCAGUGGAUGCCGACCUAUUGAGAUGCCUGUCACCUGUAAAGAUCCUGCAGCAGGAAUGCAUGGCCAGUGAUAUGACUUCUGACAAUGAGAACUUGGUGUGGUAAACAUCCAGAAAAGGCAGAGACAGAAGAAAGUGCACAGUAUUAGCACUGGGGUGUUUGAGAUGGGCUCUACAUGUCCUUGAUUAGCUCUAAUGAGCAGGACAGCAUCCGGUAUGGCCUGCAGAACUGUGCCUUGUACAUUUUUUGUGGGCCGAAUAUAAGUGGAUUGUUUUGAAAAUCCAUGAAUAUGACACAGUAUUCAAAUCUGUGAAGGUUAUGGAUGAGCUAUGACACUUGUACAAACUGAACAGAAUGCAACCUUAACUGUAAAGCAGCAGUUCGGCACUUUUGUGAUUGUAAAAUGGUGUUAUGGGCUAUUUCCUUAUUCAUCUGACAGUGGUUACUUGAAGUGCUGCAAUAAACAUUGCAUUGCAAAUA